GGGGGCUAGCGUAUCCGGAUUUACUGGGCGUAAAGGGUGCGUAGGCGGUCUUUCAAGUCAGGAGUGAAAGGCUACGGCUCAACCGUAGUAAGCUCUUGAAACUGGGAGACUUGAGUGCAGGAGAGGAGGGUGGAAUUCCUAGUGUAGCGGUGAAAUGCGUAGAUAUUAGGAGGAACACCAGUUGCGAAGGCGGCUCUCUGGACUGUAACUGACGCUGAGGCACGAAAGCGUGGGGAGCAAACAGGAUUAGAUACCCUGGUAGUCCACGCUGUAAACGA
This 278-nucleotide ribosomal RNA is filed under the name Clostridioides difficile. RNAcentral's name for it is "partial 16S ribosomal RNA". It matches the Rfam family "Bacterial small subunit ribosomal RNA", at positions 530 to 809 of the family's 1533-position model. Lineage: Bacteria; Bacillati; Bacillota; Clostridia; Peptostreptococcales; Peptostreptococcaceae. The record is from RNAcentral.